Molecule: small nucleolar RNA, 117 nt
Filed under: Nannospalax galili (Upper Galilee mountains blind mole rat)
Lineage: Eukaryota; Metazoa; Chordata; Mammalia; Rodentia; Spalacidae
Description: Small nucleolar RNA SNORA67 (ENSNGAG00000007043.1)
Rfam family: Small nucleolar RNA SNORA67
About the family: U67 belongs to the H/ACA class of snoRNAs which are thought to guide the sites of modification of uridines to pseudouridines.
Source: RNAcentral
CUUUAAGAGUUGAGAUGGCCAGGCACAUAGCCAUUUGGAAGAAAACUUGGCAUGCCUAAGGUCUUUGGGGAGCAAGAGAUGCGUAUUUCUUUUGCCUCACUUUGGCUGCCUACAUGU